Molecule: ribosomal RNA, 1246 nt
Filed under: Promethearchaeota archaeon
Lineage: Archaea; Promethearchaeati; Promethearchaeota
Description: Candidatus Lokiarchaeota archaeon (microbial mat metagenome) partial 23S ribosomal RNA
Rfam family: Archaeal large subunit ribosomal RNA
Source: RNAcentral
GUUUGGGGGAUAUCUUGGCUUGGGAACUGACGAAGGGCGUGACAAGCUGCGAUAAGCCCCGGGUAGUCGCAAGUAGAUGUUGAUCCGGGGAUUCCCGAAUGAGACGUCUUGUGAUAAUGGAAGUUAUCACACUCCGUAAGGAGGGGGAACGCGCUGAACCAAAGCAUUCUAAUAAGCGCAGGAAGAGAAAACAAACGUGAUUCCGUAAAUAGCGGCGAGCGAAAGCGGAAUAAGCCAAACCGAAUCCUCAGUGGAAAACGCUAAGGAGAUGUGGUGUAUUGGACUCGGGUCGGGCCUCGUUGGGGAAGCUGAAUGUUUCUGGAAAGCUAAGCCAUAGAGCGUGAUAGCCGCGUAAGUGUAACCCAAAAGGCGCAUGCCGAGUAUCCGGAGUAACACGACUUGGUAUUGCCGUGUGAAGAUAGCAGUGUCUAUCCUGCUAAGCUUAAAUAUAUCCCAAGUCCGAUAGCGCACUAGUACCGUGAGGGAAUGAUGAAAAGUAUCCUGGAAAGGACGUGAAAAGUGCUUGAAACCAGACAGUGAGUGAAGGAAGCGGAGGGAAAGGAUAGAUUCUGAACGAAGUUAACACUGGUAACGGUGUAGACGAGAUCAGAGGACCACCUUCGCUUCAUCCGUCUUGAACCACGGGCCAGGGAGUUUGCAUGCGUGGCGAGUUGGCUAAGGAGCGAAACUCUGUACCCCUAGGGAAACCGAGAUCUUCGCAGCCAUUUCAUCACAUUGAGUGAAAGUGUAGCUACGGCGAACACUGGAUCUCUCUAAGGGAUAUGGUGAGGAAGACGCGUCUGAAAGGGCGCACAGUCACACAUGUAAUGCCUGAAACCCCGUGAUCUAUGCCUGGCCAGGGUGAAGCCAUUCGAAAGGAUGGUGGAGGCCCGAUAGGAUUCUGACGUGCAAUUCGUCCCGUUGAGCUGGGUAUAGGAGUAAAAGACUAAUCUACCGGGGAGAUCGCUGGUUCUCUCUGAAGUUGCUCUGAGGCAAGCCCCGAGUGAGGCAGGUGGUGGUGUAGAGCACUAAUUGGCUUGGUAUGGACGGGAAACCGUUCGCCGGCUUCUUAAACUCCGAAGCUGCUGCCGCCAUAGACCUCGGGAGACGGUUUGGUACGGGUAAGCCGUAUCGUCGAGAGGGGAACAACCCAGAUUGAGGUUAAGGUCCCUAAGUGCCGGCUAAGUGUUAAACUAAAUGGUGUCAUUCCUCGAAGACAGUGAAAAGGUAAGCCUAGAAGCCGCUA